This 497-nucleotide ribosomal RNA is filed under the name uncultured bacterium. RNAcentral describes it as "partial 16S ribosomal RNA". It matches the Rfam family "Bacterial small subunit ribosomal RNA", at positions 28 to 507 of the family's 1533-position model. The record is from RNAcentral.
GAUGAACGCUGGCGGCGUGCCUAAUACAUGCAAGUCGAGCGAACAGAUGAGGAGCUUGCUCCUCUGACGUUAGCGGCGGACGGGUGAGUAACACGUGGAUAACCUACCUAUAAAACUGGGAUAACUUCGGGAAACCGGAGCUAAUACCGGAUAAUAUAUUGAACCGCAUGGUUCAAUAGUGAAAGACGGUUUUGCUGUCACUUAUAGAUGGAUCCGCGCCGCAUUAGCUAGUUGGUAAGGUAACGGCUUACCAAGGCAACGAUGCGUAGCCGACCUGAGAGGGUGAUCGGCCACACUGGAACUGAGACACGGUCCAGACUCCUACGGGAGGCAGCAGUAGGGAAUCUUCCGCAAUGGGCGAAAGCCUGACGGAGCAACGCCGCGUGAGUGAUGAAGGUCUUCGGAUCGUAAAACUCUGUUAUUAGGGAAGAACAAAUGUGUAAGUAACUAUGCACGUCUUGACGGUACCUAAUCAGAAAGCCACGGCUAACUACGUG